Non-coding RNA from Cherax quadricarinatus, 5518 nucleotides. Lineage: Eukaryota; Metazoa; Arthropoda; Malacostraca; Decapoda; Parastacidae. The record is from RefSeq and is a predicted model, not a curated record.
UAGUGCUAACAGUACAAGUAGUAUUACUAGCAGUACUAGUGCUAGUAGUGAUAUUACUGUAGUACUAGCACUGAGGUGUUCCGGAAGAGGUACUAGUAAUAUUUGUACUUUGUGGUGGUUCCCUUGUAGGCGGGGCGGCGCCCACACCCUCAGCCAGCCACCCGCCGCCCGCCGCCCACGCCCAUCACGCCCCUCCUACACAGGCUGUCCACCCAUCUCAGGCGCACCCCCCUGCGGCGCACGCUCCGCCCCCCCUGCCGGAAUUGGGGCCUUCCGUAGGCCUCCCCCAACCAGAGACGGCCCUGCCCCCGCACGUGCUGCCGGGUUUGUCUCCGUCAGACGAUGGUGCGGGUACGUCCCACGCAGCCGACUAUAACACCGGCUACGGUCCCUACACUAAGAACGAAGGGGAUCCGCACCACCUCACCUCUGACGGCACGGAUUCUAGCGGGCAACGUAUGACCGUCACCCCGGAGCUCUUAGGACUUAUGCCUUCCAACGCCACCUCACAUUACUCCUCCGGAGGAUGCAGGUGAAAUCCCAGAAAUUGCUAUUUGUGGGGGCCUGAUGAGGGCAGGUUGUGCGGGAUCACAGUCGCUGAAGACAUGGUUCUCAAUCAAAUGGGUGGACCCUUUGAAGCAGGAUGAGUCAUCGGGAAGCGGUGAACUGUUUUCGGGGGUUCUUGAAGAGUACGAGGAGGAACUUUGCAAAUCAUUGUUAGCUGGUUUCUUCAAUGUGCUACACAAAUGGGUGUCAUAUUGGGGGGGAUAUAUUGGGUGGCCAGUAUGAUAUCUAUGUAAAGGAUGAGAGAUGGGCCCAACCUUCAAAUUAACACCCAAUCAGCCUGAUCUCAAUAGUGGAAAAAUUACUAGAAUCAAUAAUAAAAGUUACAAUUUGAAGUUACCUUAAUGAAAAUAAUAAUUUGAUAAAGAGUCUCAACACAGAUUCAUAAAGGGUCAUUCUUGCCUAACAAACUUUCUGAACACUUUUUCACUAAGGUAUUUGAGGCAGUGGAUCAGGAUAGAGUAUAAUGAUGUCUAUCUUAUUUACAAUAAGGUUUUUAAUAUAUUUUAACAUAGGAUACUGUUGAAGUAGCAGCACAUGAUACUGGAGAAAAAUUCUUUCAUGGAUCAAUGUCUGACUGAUGGCAGCAAAGAAUUUACAGUAUAAAAUGUAAAAUCAAAAUGAAGAUCUGUCACAAAUCACAUUCCAGAGUCUCCUUGGUUAUAAUCUUCAUUAACAACCUACACAGGAUAAUAUAUAACAACAUGAGUCAGUUUGCUGAUGACACAAAAAUAGGCUAAAAAAAUAAAGUGGACAAGUGGCAGAUUCAAAUCAUUGUUCAAAAUUUUUUCUCAUUCUUUAAAAGAAUUGUGCCGCAACUCAAACAAGGUCUUACCAGAAAUGUAUGAUUAGAUGUAGUAAUCUCAAAACACUUUUACCAGGGAAAACUUUUAUUUUACGUCUCUCCCACAGUUGCUGAAAUUUCGUACAAUAAAGGUUGUCCCUCGAAAUUACCACCUGUAGGUUUAUACUAUUGUUUACCGUACUGAGUAGUGUUGUAGUGGAUGGCAAAUUUAUUUUUUCCUCCAAGGUUUCUGUGCGAUAACCCUAAAAUGUCUCUUCUGAUCGGCUUCAAGCUUUCAAUGCUGAUGUAUUAUAGAGGAAGGUUUGAAAUGUUAAUGGGCUGCGUAGGUGCCAGUCUUCAAAGACAGAACACAAAGGCACAAUACUGUGACUGGAACAAUACACAAAUAACCUGCAUAUAGGAGAAAGAAGCUUCAUGAUAGUUUUGGUCUGACUUGGACCAUUAAUUAGUCACACUAGUUAAUGAUCCAAGUCGGACUGAAACAUUGUCAUUAAAUUUAUUUCUCUUAUGUGUGGUUUAUUUGUGUACAAUUUGCCAAAUUUAUGAAACAAAUUGAGAUAUUGGCUUCCAUGUUAUAACUUGAGAAUAAUUACUGAUUGGCUUCAAACUUUCAAUACUAUUGUAUCUUACAUGACAGAACAUUCACACUGUUAUUGGGCUGUAUUAAUUCCAAUUUGCCAUUUUUUUUUUAUUUUCUUUUUUUUUUUUUCAAAAAAUUAAGUGGCAUUUUUUUUUUCAUAACCAGAAUGCCUCUUCUGAAUGACUUCCAAUUAACAGUGCUGAUGUAUUUAACCCAAAAAUGAUUCAGGUUAGUUUUGGGUUCUGUUAGUGUCAGUUUGCCAGUUUUAUUGAACAGACUGGGAUAUUGAUUUGCCAGUUUUAUUGAACAGACUGGGAUAUUGAUUUGCCAGUUUUAUUGAACAGACUGGGAUAUUGAUUUGCCAGUUUUAUUGAACAGACUGGAAUAUUGAUUUGCCAGUUUUAUUGAACAGACUGGGAUAUUGAUUUGCCAGUUUCAUUGAACAGACUGGGAUAUUGAUUUGCCAGUUUCAUUGAACAGACUGGGAUAUUGAUUUGCCAGUUUCAUUGAACAGACUGGGAUAUUGAUUUGCCAGUUUUAUUGAACAGACUGGGAUAUUGAUUUGCCAGUUUCAUUGAACAGACUGGGAUAUUGAUUUGCCAGUUUUCAUUGAACAGACUGGGAUAUUGAUUUGCCAGUUUUAUUGAACAGACUGGGAUAUUGAUUUGCCAGUUUUAUUGAACAGACUGGGAUAUUGAUUUGCCAGUUUCAUUGAACAGACUGGGAUAUUGAUUUGCCAGUUUUAUUGAACAGACUGGGAUAUUGAUUUCACUUUCACAGUUAUUGAGAAUGCCUCUAUAUAUCAACUUUGAAUACUGUAUCCUACCUUAAGUCUUAAGAAAAUUUUAGGUUUUUAUUGGGUUAUGUGGAUGCCAAUUUCUUUGAAAAACUGGAUGAUAUCAUAUCCUUCUGGAGUACUAAAAAAAUUGGGGGAAUCAGAUUGCAAAUUUCAAUGGAAUAUCAUAUCGUCUUAAAUCUGCACCAUAUUAUUUACUAAAUUACCAUUAGCCUAGUUUAAGAGAUAUUAAGGAUCCUAGUAUGAGGACAGCUGAAUGCUUUUGAAAAAAAAAAAAAAGUUAAAAAAAAAAAAAAAUGUAAAAUAUUCGUAUCAGUGUGUAACUUGUCAGUGGUUACAUUUCUACACGAUAAUUAUUGUAGUUUUAUGCAGCUUUUAGUUUUGCAAUUAUAAUGUUAAUUAGCAUGAUGUCGGUAAAGUUUUGUGGGUAUUUAUGUUGAUUUUUUUUUUUUUAUUAAUAUUGUUUGUAAAAAUUAGAUGUUGGAAACCUCUCAAGGAGGUUAUUUGAUGCCAUCGACUGCUUUUGGUCCAAUGAAAUGGAUCUACCCAACCCUUCCUUGGACUGAACCUCGUUGCUUCCUAUUCCCCAAGGCACUGUAUGACCCGAUGGGUUUAGUGCAACCUCCCUCCCAUGAAUGUAAUUGACAUUAGCAAGACUGGUGUGUAGAGGAGUGGCCAGACUAUUAUUAUUACAAUCAAAAUUAAGCGCUAAACGUACAAGGGUCAUAGAGCACUGCAGGAGUGGUCAUGGAGCUCAGUGCUCCGUCACUCACCGAUGGAAUGUGGCGGUGGCUUACAAGUUUUAAUUUCACUCUUUGACUUCUAUUAUCCUUCAUAUUUAUUGAGGUAUUUGAUUUCUUUUUUUUUAUGUUGUAAAUAUUAGUUCUGUAAACCUAUAUUUAGCAGAAAUUAUAAAUGUAUUUAAGUUUUCUACUUUGAAUCUUUAUGUUUUUUUUAAUUAUUAUUUUUUUUUUUUCGAAAAACUAAGGAUAAUAUCUAUAUUGGAAGUAAGUUAGUGUGUCUUUUAACUAAAAUUAUUAACUAGAAUAUUUGGAAGUUAAUAACAAUUGCCCCAUUUUGAUGUAAAGUUCAUAGAUGUCUUUUUUUUUUUAUAACCAUUUAUCUUACACCAGAGUUUUUAAAACUUUUGAAAUUGUGGAACCUUUAAUUAAAAGAACAAAUUCCUGAAACCUCGAACAAAAGUUAAAAAGUUAUGCUACGUUACGUAAUAUGCAAAAUAUCAGCAUACGUGUACAUUUGUGUACAUUUCAUUGAUAGAUUAAAUAUCAGAUUGGAGGAAGUGGUUGUGUUCAGACAUUUGGGAGUAGCAUCAGCAGGUGGGUCUGUGAAACACAAGAUGUGUCGUGGGGGUUCAUCAUGAGAUAUUGAAGUAAGAAAUACACUAUGUUAGAUGUCUUGGAGGUGUAUAAUUAAGAGAGUCUUGAGGAUAGCCCAGGCCUGUCUGUCGAGUCUAAUCUGUGCCUAGCAUGGAACUCUGUGACUUAGGGCGGGACCUCUGGGCUACCACUCGUGUGAGGAUCUUAUGACGUCACAGCCAGCAAGGGAGCCUAUCUAUAAAGUAGCUGGGAUUAUCUAAGUAUACUACACAAGUAAACAGUAACACUAUUGACAGGUGAACCAUAGAAUAGAUGAAGGGAAAAGGGUGAGUGGUGUGGCGAGACAUCUGGGGUAAGACAUCCAUCUAUGGAGGCAAAAAUAGGGAAUGUACCAUAGUAUAAUGGUACCAGCACUUGUAUGGAUGUGAGGCAUGGGUUUUAAAUGGUGCAGUGAGAUCAGUGUAUGAUGUGAAUAUAAUGCAGAGGGGUCAGGGUGUAGAAGAUAAAAAAGAAACGAUGUGGGUUACCAAGGGUAUAAUUCAGAGGGCUGAGGUGGUUUGAGCAUUUAGAGGAUGGUGACAAGAGAAGUGACAUUUAGAGAGGAUGGUGACAAAGAGAGUGUACAAGUGGUGUGGAAGGUAAGGGUCAUCCCAUCAACAGGUAUGGGGAAUAAAGGAGCGAGUUUUAGAAGCUUCAGGAUUGUACUCGCCUAGUUGCGGUUACAGGGGUCAAGUCACAGCCCCUUGUGUGAGUCCAUUAGAUAAGAAUGAAUGGAGAAAAGUAGUUUUAAGAAACAUGCUGCUGGAAUGUGAGUAAGGUAACAUUUAUGAAGGGAUUCAGGGAAACCAGUUAGGUGAUGUGUGAAGGACAGUGCCUGCACUCUGAAGAAGGGAUGAGGUUGUUGUAUUUCAGUUGUAAUUUGAAUUGUGAUGUCAGCAAACUUCUUGCAGGAUGAUUGAGUGAAUGAUGGUGAGUGUGGUUCCUCUUUUUGGGUUUAAUUGCAUUACACUACAUUACCUGGAGUAUACCUGGAGAGGGUUUGGGGGGGGGCCAAUGUCCCCGUGGCCUGGUCUGAGACCAGGCCUCGUGGUGGAUCAGGGUCUAAUCACCCCAGGCUGUUACUGCUGGCCUUACGUAAUCUGACGUACAAGGAGGUAAAAAUAAAAAAGGCUUAGCCAUUUACCAGUGAAAGAAAAUAUCUUGUUUAUAAAAACAUACAAGAAGGUACCACAGCUAGUGCUAAUUGGGGACCCUUAGCCUCAGAGAAGAUAAUAAAUUCACUUCAGAGAGAAAUCCAGAGCUAUUUGAGUAUUUUCUUCCUUACCACCCCUAUAUAGCUUUGUUGCAUUAUUAAAUUUUUCAGUGUAAAAUAAAAAUGGCUAAUUUUACAGUUAUUGAUGGGGUAAUUGUAAUAGUUUAAUAAAUGUUCAAUAACU